CGUUGCCGUUGUACGUCCGUCGUAAUCCAUUACCAUGAAGCAUGAAGCCGUCAACGUUAAUGUCAAGUCGUCAAGUGCGUCAACCGUCAAUAACCGAUAGUAAUGUGUUUGGGGCAUGGAUUCAUGGGUCUAUGUAGAAAGCAGAUGAACAUCACAUGUUGCAGCAGCAUCUGGAGAGAGAAGAACAGACGUGGUCUGUUGAGUGAAAUAGUGCAAGUUCCUUCAAGAGACUCCCUACAACCCAACUUACCUGUCUGAAACAAUAAGUGACUGACAUUUUGCAGUAGCAGUGGUUUUUUCAAAGUAGCUACGUAGAAAAGCUAAAAUUAAAAAUUGCUUGUGGAAUGUAAUCUUGGCAUCACUAUUGAUCUUGGUACUCCUCAAUUGUAUUCCAAAGAGAAAAAUGCAAAUUAGAACCUGACAGACAAGAAACUGCAAGAAGAGGUUAGUCAUUAUUUACUGUUUGUUUAUCUUUUGUUGUUUUAGAGUAUCUUCUUCAACGUCAAAAUGACACAUGUGGUUGAGGCCAUUGACUGCCAACAGAAACAAGGCCAAUUACUGCAAUUUGAUUUUUUGUUAUAAAAAGAUAGUAGCUUUGCAACCCAAAUGGAAGAACAGGUUAUUGCAAGGAAUUUACAAUGUUGUCCUCGGCCUAUCGUGAGUGAUCUUAAGAGGAUAAGGUUUUAGCAUGGUGGUAAAUAAUAGCUGACUGAGAGCAACAAUCAGUGAUCACACUGUUGUAAGAAUUGGGUAUCUUGAAGUUUUCUGCAUAGAUUAUGUCCACACUGUAAUGGUUCUGAUGGCGUGCAUUAAAAUGAUCCAUCAACUUCAAGUUUUCUUAGCACUUUCUAUCCUCUGGCCACAAAAUUCCUUUUAGGUGAUGUAGUGAUUCAAAAGGGAUCACAUGGAAAGAAAAAUGCCUUCAAUACUUGAAAAGGAAGAUAAAAAACACUAAAAAGUGAAAGAUGUGUUUGGGUGUGCAUGCUGACUUCGAAGGAGGCAAUGUGUUUAUGAUUUAAAAUCUAGGUAUCCAUCUUCUUUAUAGAGUACGGAAACAAUAUCAACAUCUCCCGUCAAGAAAUAUGGGUUUCACUUGAAAACCCUCUAGUUCUUUUACAAACAACCAUUUGGCUCUCCAGGUCAAUGGCAAGUCAUUUUGCGUGAAGCUCUGUCAUCCCAUUAACUGAGUUUUUCCUGCGACGUUGCAUAAUAUUCUUACCAAUUACAUUAAUCGGCCCCUGACUGCAUGCUUCAAUAUGUCCCCGCAGUAACGGAAUGGUACCUACAGUUGGUGGUGUCCAGCCAGUGAGGAAUCGUAUUUCAUGGCUCCCAAGAAUCGGGAUUUGUUUCAAACGAAAUGCCUAAUACUGCCAUGGAUCAUGCAGCAAUCCUAAACGAUGAUAAGUUAGUGGACUCGUGUGCUCCUCGAAAGGCUGGUGGAAAGUUGCCAAUCGUGAAUGGUAAUGCGGACUAGUGGGAUUCCGCAAAAGCUGGUGAAAAUGUACCAAAGAUAAAAGACGCGGAGUAUUUCUUCUGUCAAUUCAAAUGCCAGUCGAGGUUACGUGAAACAAAUACAUUGGUAAAACGGUGAACCCAUUGUGUUUCCCACUCAAACAAUCCUAUUGAACUCCACAAGCGGGUAGUGCCGAUUUCGUGUCCCAUUCAACUUUUCUACCCACCUCACAAAAGAUUACAAGGGUCAACGACGAUCCUCGAAACCGUAUUUUUCGACAACCCCUACAGCUUUUGCUGCUAUACGGUUGAUGUGGGUCCACUUCUUGAAGACUUACUGGACAAAUUGGCUGCAGCUUACACAGAAUCUAUAACAAGCGUGUGGGUGUCGGCUAAUACAAGGAUGAUGGCUGGCGGCACUGUGGCCUAAUCUUGAAAGUGGAAGGAAGUGAAGCCGAAGUGCUAUUUGUAGACAGUGACAAUAAACAGCUUACUUCCACUAGGCCAGUCGAGCAUACUGAGUCAAAUUGCCGUCCCUGGCUUAUCAUUGUUGUCUGGACGGCAUUCCAAAAUCCUCCGUUCUUGGACAUCCGAAGAUAAGGCACCGUUUUGAACAACUCGGCAUGGCCAAACGUAUCUUGGUCACGUACUCCAACCGAUGGGAAAAUAGCUACAUUCUCAGUUCAUGUAACGCUAGAGCACACUGGUGCCUGUCUUUUCGAAAUCGAUGACCUUUUCACUCCUGCUCGCAAAAUUCUUCCCGUGCCAUAUAUUGCCAGCUAUCCAGCCCUACCAACUUCGUCUGAAUCGACUGAAGUGAACUCGGCUUUGUUUCACCAUGUUAAAAGGUUCUUCCUCUGGUCUGUUAAUCUUUCACCGUAUCAGAUAUUUUAUCUCUGUUUUAGAAUUCUGUACAUAGCUGAUGAGACUUACUUUUAUGAAUCCUAGAGAGAAUCGGACGAGAUGGGUGAUGAGAGCAACUUGCAAUUUAUCUUUGCCAUGGUUCUUCAUUGAUAUGUACUUUUUUUUCUAAACAUACGUGGCAGUGCAUGUUGAAUAAAUAAGAAUAAAUGAAGUGGAACAAUGUCA
Molecule: long non-coding RNA, 2541 nt
Organism: Daphnia magna
Lineage: Eukaryota; Metazoa; Arthropoda; Branchiopoda; Diplostraca; Daphniidae
Exons: 6
Source: RefSeq, a predicted model, not a curated record